RNAcentral lists this ribosomal RNA (1495 nucleotides) under uncultured bacterium. RNAcentral describes it as "bacterial SSU rRNA". It matches the Rfam family "Bacterial small subunit ribosomal RNA". The record is from RNAcentral.
UAAGUGAACGCUGGCGGCGUGGAUUAGGCAUGCAAGUCGUAGCGAUGAUUUCUUUAGGGACAGUCCCCUUACGGGGACAGUCCCGAGAAAAAUCAUAGCGGCAAACUGGUGAGUAACAGGUGAGUAAUCUACCUCUAUAUCGGGGAUAGCCUUGCGAAAGCGAGGGUAAUACCUGAUGUGUCCCCUAGCACAAAAGUGGUGGGGGAUAAAGGCAUCCGCAAGGAUGCUGUAUAGAGAUGAACUCGUCUCCUAUCAGCUAGUUGGUAGGGUAAUGGCCUACCAAGGCAAUUGACGGGUAGCUGGUCUGAGAGGACGGUCAGCCACAUGGGGACUGAGACACUGCCCCGACUCCUACGGGAGGCUGCAGUCGAGGAUAUUUAGCAAUGGGCGAAAGCCUGACUAUGCGACGCCGCGUGAGGGAUGAAGGUCUUCGGAUUGUAAACCUCUUUCGAUGGGGAAGAAUUCAGACGGUACCUAGAGAAGAAGCCAUGGCUAACUCCGUGCCAGCAGCCGCGGUAAUACGGAGAUGGCAAGCGUUACUCGGAUUUACUGGGUGUAAAGGGCAGGUAGGCGUCUCGAUAAGUUCUUGGCGAAAUCCUUCUGCUUAACAGAAGAACUGCCGAGAAAACUAUCGAGAUUGAGACUAGAAGAGGAGAGUGGAAUUCCCGGUGUAAGGGUGAAAUCUGUAGAUAUCGGGAGGAACACCAGAAGCGAAGGCGACUCUCUGGUCUAGGUCUGACGCUGAGCUGCGAAAGCUAGGGGAGCAAACAGAAUUAGAUACUCUGGUAGUCCUAGCCGUAAACGAUGAGCACUAGGUGUUGGCUCUGAAUAAGGGUCGGUGCCGUAAGAUAACUCGUUAAGUGCUCCACCUGGGGACUACGGCCGCAAGGCUAAAACUCAAAGGAAUUGACGGGGGCCCGCACAAGCGGUGGAACAUGUGGUUCAAUUCGACGAUACGCGAAGAACCUCACCAGGGCUUGACAUGCAGGAAGUAGGAACCUGAAAGGGUAACGACCUGUCAAGUCAGGAGCCUGCACAGGUGUUGCAUGGCUGUCGUCAGCUCGUAUCGUGAGACGUUGGGUUAAGUCCCGCAACGAGCGCAACCUUCAUCCUUAGUUGCUACCCAAUGCCAAUUUUGGCAACAAGAUUAGUGUUGGGGCACUCUAAGGAAACUGCCCGCGAUAAGCGGGAGGAAGGCGGAGAUUACGUCAAGUCAGUACGGCCCUUAUGCCCUGGGCUACACACGUGUUACAAUGCCUGCUACAAAGCGUUGCUAAGUCGCGAGGCGGAGCUAAUCGCAAAAAAGCAGGCUCAGUUCGGAUUGGAGUCUGCAACUCGACUCCAUGAAGCUGGAAUCGCUAGUAAUGACAGAUCAGCUACGCUGUCGUGAAUACGUUCCCGGGCCUUGUACACACCGCCCGUCAAGCGAUGGGAGCUAGGGGUACCUGAAAUCCCUGAGCAAUCAGGGCUGAAGGUAAAUCUGGUGACUGGCGCU